GUGUGUGGGAGACAAUAUGCGUUUUACUUUGGUUGUAGUGGUAGUUUGGCUUGCCGCCGUCGCAGCGGUUCCCAGGAAUCCGCAAAGGAUCGUGGGUGGGUCUGUAACAACCAUCGAGCAGUAUCCGUUCGCGGCUCCUCUGUUGUAUUCUUGGAACCUCAUCACCUACAGUCAGUCCUGCAGUGGCACUAUCCUCAACAGUAGGACCAUACUCUCGGCCGCACAUUGCUUCGUGGGUGACGCAGCUAACAGAUGGCGAAUCCGCGUAGGCUCCACCUGGGCUAACAGUGGUGGCGUAGUCCACAACGUCAAAUCUAUAAUCAUCCACCCGAGUCACAACACCAGAACUCUUGACAAUGACGUCGCUCUUUUGCGUUCUGCGAGCACUAUCGCUCAGAGCUAUCAGUCUCGCGCUGGCAGCAUCGCCGGAGCUAACUACUUCUUAGCGGAUAACCAAGCUGUCUGGGCCAUAGGAUGGGGAGCAACGUGUUCCAGCUGUUCCGGUUCCGACCAGCUGAGACAUGUCCAGAUCUGGGUCGUGAACCAGAACACUUGCAAACAGCGAUAUCUUGAGGUGGGUGGAACCGUCACCGACAACAUGCUGUGCUCAGGCUGGCUGGACGUGGGCGGCCGCGACCAGUGCCAGGGCGACUCGGGCGGCCCACUGGUGCACCAGGGGGUGGUGGUGGGGGUGUGCUCGUGGGGACAGGGCUGCGCGCAGGCUCGGUACCCUGGGAUCAACACUAGAGUCUCCAGGUUUACGGCGUGGAUACAGGCUAACGCAUAAUUCUGAACUGACUAUCUGACUGAAUAAAUAGAGGAUUUUCUGAACAAUAAAUAAAAGAAAAAAAUGAAAGCUUGUAGAUAAUACCUGUUACGUGAACAUGAUCUGCCUCCGUGUGUCAGCCGUGUAAGGCUCACGAUAAAAGGGUUGCAGCCGACAUAUGUACCUGGAAGAGAAAGGAAACAUUGCAUUAGAAAUUGU
Molecule: RNA transcript, 985 nt
Organism: Leguminivora glycinivorella
Lineage: Eukaryota; Metazoa; Arthropoda; Insecta; Lepidoptera; Tortricidae
Gene name: trypsin CFT-1-like
Exons: 6
Source: RefSeq, a predicted model, not a curated record